AACCCCGCCACAUUAUUUGUGUAUGUGCCUGUCCCAAGUCAGGAGCCUGUAAUUCAAUGGUUGUCGUUUGUUUAUGUGUUACAUAUUUGUUUUUCGUUCAUUUUCUUAUAUAAAUAAGGCCGUUAGUUUUCUCGUUUGAAUUGUUUUACAUUGUCUUAUCGGGGCCUUUUAUAGCUGACUAUGCGGUAUGGGCUUUGCUCAUUGUUGAAGGCCGUACGGUGACCUAUAGUUGUUAAUGUCUGUGUCAUUUUUGGUCUCUUGUGGACAGUUGUCUCAUUGGCAAUCAUACCACAUCUCCUUUUUUAUAAAU
Molecule: long non-coding RNA, 310 nt
Filed under: Mytilus galloprovincialis (Mediterranean mussel)
Lineage: Eukaryota; Metazoa; Mollusca; Bivalvia; Mytilida; Mytilidae
Source: RNAcentral